This is a long non-coding RNA of Hippopotamus amphibius kiboko, 2339 nucleotides long. RefSeq lists it as uncharacterized. The transcript has 3 exons. The record is from RefSeq and is a predicted model, not a curated record. Lineage: Eukaryota; Metazoa; Chordata; Mammalia; Artiodactyla; Hippopotamidae.
UUGGCGUGAAAUGAGGACGGCAGCCUGGGAGACAGCAUCCCAGACACCUCUGAGAAACUGUUCCAAAAAGGUAGGGGGGAAGAUCCGUAUAUAUGUGAUUUUGGUGAAAGGGAAAAACGUGCAACCAAGCACGUAUCGUUUACAGAAGGUUACUGCUGGUCACAAGGAGCCGUCGUCACCAUGGAGGAGUUUGGUAUUUUUCUAGAUAAGAGGAGACACAGAAUUGGGCCCAUAAAGUUGGCUCCUGAAGAUAUCUAACUCUCUGAAGACCUGUUCUGCCAGUUUUUCCCAGAGCACAGAGGGCCUCAUGUCAGCCCUCCACCCUGAACUGCCUUCGGGCGGUGUUGCCAGCAGCUGCAGCAGCGCGGGAUUCCAUCUUUGCAGAGACAGACGGCAAAUGCCAAUGGCGAGACUUGACAAGAGUGUCUGCUGCUAACUUUCAGAUUGUUCACAAAAAUCAUAGCAUCCAUGUAAACGUAGAGAGGAGUAAUGAAGGAGAUGGGGCAAAACGCUGAUAACUGAUAACUGGGUGAAGCAUACACGGGGAUUCUUGCUACUAUUCUUAUAACUCAUUGCUGGCGGUUGGCUUCUAGAACACGGUCCUCACGCGUUUCUCCGCAGCAUCUCCACAAGGCCCAGCACUGGGUGCCACUGGUAGGCUUGUGAGGUGCCAGGUGGCCGCCAGGCUCUGGCCACAGUCAAACUGGGAGAAAGAGCAGUAAUCGCUGAGACCGGAUAGCUCCAGGCCUUACGGAGCGUGGACCGAGGCUGCAGGGAGCCGGAGUCCUUGGUGGCCGGGACCAGCCUCCAGAAACCCCUGAGGGGUUUGGGAAGGGGGACCUGCCUGAACCGCUCACGUGCACUCGGCCAUGGCCCCCGGCCCUCCUUCCGCGGAGCCUGACGCAGACGACCACGAACACAGUCCAAGAAGUGACCGAACGAGGGACAACUGUACCCUCAGGACUUGGUCAGGGAGAUGGCCCCAUGUGGGGGUGGGAGACUCCUCGGAUAAUUACUUGCAAGGGAGGGGUGAGCCUGCGCUAACUUGCUGUCUAGAGGAGCAGGGCCAGUUCCCUGGGGCUUUCUGUUUCCUGAUCUGGAGACAGGGCCUAAGUGGAAUUGUUUGGGACGCUGGUGUGUGAGCUUUGCCUGGAGGGGCGGGAGGGAGGGGACUGGAAGCAGCUCUGCCUCCGCAAAGACGCAUAGAUGGGGAGGCAUUCCAUUCCAUUGAAAUGUCUGCUUUCUCAGGGCCUGCAGUGCCUCCAGCAGAGCUGCUUCAGGGUGAGAAAGAGGAGGGAUUUCUGCUGGGUCCUGGAAGAGCGGCCGGGAAAGGCAGAGGCUGCCGGGAUGGAGAGGACCUGCCCGAUGGUGGUCCUGGUCCCUGUCCUUGCAGCCUGAGUGUCAGACGGUGGAGCCACACGCCACUGUGAUGCUCCGUGACCAUGUGGGACAAGUCACAGCUGGGUGUCCGGCGCCAUCCCAGCAACGGCCUGUGCUCUGAGGUCCGAGAAGCACCAGGAUGCGUCUUAAGCCUGAGCUCUGGUGGGACUUCAGCAGGAUAAAUGACGUUCAACUAAAGGGUCCAACAAACAUACUGCGAUGUAGCCGAGCUGGUGUCUGAGCCAAGGACAAUCCACACAGAUAUACUGAAGCCCCCACCAGGUGGAAGACGUUAACGACAUGAUGACCAGGCUGUCGCCGUGACAUCAGCUGCCACCGUUCCAAGAACUGGCCUCAAAGAGAUGAGAACACACCGACCCUGGAGCUGAAGGUUAACUGUACCUAAAACAACCAGAUGACGCUGGUCAGACCACCGAUGACCAAAUUCAAGGUGACUGUCAGAGCCGACGGUGCUGUUUCUGCACGUAGCCCCCUCCCUCUGUCUAUAAAAGCUCCUGCCCCCUGAUUGUUGCGGGGGACGGAGUAUCAGCCUUUGGACAGGCGUCUGCGCUCCCCUGAUUGCCGGCAGCCAAAAUAAAGCCAACUUUCCACCAGCCUGGCCUCUUUUCUGGCUUGUGAGCGGUGAGCAGCCGGACCCCACCUUCGGUUACGAUACCUGUCUUCACUUUACAGUUUCUGUCCCCUUUGCCCUUUUAUCCUGUGUGGGGGGGACCUUCUUCACUUGCUUUACCAACCCCCACAUUUUAUUUCCAACCGUGUUCUUUCUGCGGCUCGGUUCCUGGAUUAAACGUUGUAUUUCUUUAAUCACUGCUGUUUCCCGACAGCUAUUUUCUAGGUCUCUCGGGGGUUCUUCUCCACAGGACCCUUGGGGGUGGUUUUAUCCUCCUGGACGGCACUGUGAACGUGAAUCCGCGUUUAUACAAUAAAAGAUUCUCUUC